RNAcentral lists this non-coding RNA (41 nucleotides) under Gloeochaete wittrockiana. The record is from RNAcentral. Lineage: Eukaryota; Glaucocystophyceae; Gloeochaetales; Gloeochaetaceae.
UCUCAUCCAAGAUCACAUCAAACACCCUCUGAAGAUCAAGA